Molecule: ribosomal RNA, 429 nt
Filed under: Actinomycetes bacterium
Lineage: Bacteria; Bacillati; Actinomycetota; Actinomycetes
Description: Actinobacteria bacterium partial 16S ribosomal RNA
Rfam family: Bacterial small subunit ribosomal RNA
Source: RNAcentral
UAGGGAAUCUUCCGCAAUGGGCGAAAGCCUGACGGAGCAACGCCGCGUGAGUGAUGAAGGUCUUCGGAUCGUAAAACUCUGUUAUUAGGGAAGAACAAAUGUGUAAGUAACUAUGCACGUCUUGACGGUACCUAAUCAGAAAGCCACGGCUAACUACGUGCCAGCAGCCGCGGUAAUACGUAGGUGGCAAGCGUUAUCCGGAAUUAUUGGGCGUAAAGCGCGCGUAGGCGGUUUUUUAAGUCUGAUGUGAAAGCCCACGGCUCAACCGUGGAGGGUCAUUAGAAAAUGGAAAACUUGAGUGCAGAAGAGGAAAGUGGAAUUCCAUGUGUAGGGGUGAAAUGCGCAGAGAUAUGGAGGAACACCAGUGGCGAAGGAGACUUUCUGGUCUGUAACUGACGCUGAUGUGCGAAAGCGUGGGGAUCAAACAGG